UACGAAGGGGGCUAGCGUUGCUCGGAAUGACUGGGCGUAAAGGGCGCGUAGGCGGCUUGUAUAGUCGGAUGUGAAAUUCCCGGGCUCAACCUGGGGGCUGCGCUUGAUACUGAUGAGCUUGAAUGCGGGAGAGGAUAGUGGAAUUCCCAGUGUAGAGGUGAAAUUCGUAGAUAUUGGGAAGAACACCGGUGGCGAAGGCGGCUAUCUGGCCCGUAAUUGACGCUGAGGCGCGAAAGCGUGGGGAGCAAACAGG
RNAcentral lists this ribosomal RNA (253 nucleotides) under uncultured bacterium. Its description in RNAcentral is "partial 16S ribosomal RNA". It matches the Rfam family "Bacterial small subunit ribosomal RNA", at positions 524 to 776 of the family's 1533-position model. The record is from RNAcentral.